UGGGGAAUAUUGGACAAUGGGCGCAAGCCUGAUCCAGCCAUGCCGCGUGAGUGAUGAAGGCCCUAGGGUUGUAAAGCUCUUUCACCGGUGAAGAUAAUGACGGUAACCGGAGAAGAAGCCCCGGCUAACUUCGUGCCAGCAGCCGCGGUAAUACGUAUGUUGCGAGCGUUAUCCGGAAUUAUUGGGCUUAAAGGGCAUCUAGGCGGUAAGACAAGUUGAAGGUGAAAACCUGUGGCUCAACCAUAGGCUUGCCUACAAAACUGUUGAACUAGAGUACUGGAAAGGUGGGCGGAACUACACGAGUAGAGGUGAAAUUCGUAGAUAUGUGUAGGAAUGCCGAUGAUGAAGAUAACUCACUGGACAGAAACUGACGCUGAAGUGCGAAAGCUAGGGGAGCAAACAGG
Molecule: ribosomal RNA, 404 nt
Filed under: Verrucomicrobiota bacterium
Lineage: Bacteria; Pseudomonadati; Verrucomicrobiota
Description: Verrucomicrobia bacterium partial 16S ribosomal RNA
Rfam family: Bacterial small subunit ribosomal RNA
Source: RNAcentral